CACCUCCAACCCACACAGCCCUUCAUCCCCGUUUAUUCAGUCCUGGAAAAGGAGUUCUGUCUGUCCUUAGGAUGAAGCUUUCACUGAGCUGAAGGAAGAGGAAACGGCCCCGAAUCCUUGGAGGUCUGUCUGAAUUGGGGGCCCUGCACAAGUACAAGCCUGGUGGAAAAAAGUAAACUGCUCCUGCUCCCAGCAGGUCCUGCUCUGCUUGCAGCCUGGGGGAAACCUGUGAGCCUGAGUGGAAGUGCCUCGCCCAGACGUGCACACAUCCCGUUUAGGCAAGCCAGCUACACGCCCUGGAUCAG
RNAcentral lists this long non-coding RNA (305 nucleotides) under Ursus maritimus (polar bear). RNAcentral describes it as "lncRNA (ENSUMAG00000001221.1)". The record is from RNAcentral. Lineage: Eukaryota; Metazoa; Chordata; Mammalia; Carnivora; Ursidae.